Long non-coding RNA from Salvia splendens (bonfire salvia), 720 nucleotides. RefSeq lists it as uncharacterized. The record is from RefSeq and is a predicted model, not a curated record. The transcript is spliced from 4 exons. Lineage: Eukaryota; Viridiplantae; Streptophyta; Magnoliopsida; Lamiales; Lamiaceae.
AGCUGCAAAACUUGAGCUGGGCAUUUUCGCACCCAAAUUGAUGGUUUUAGGGCUCCAAAUUUUGUCCGAUUUGAUGAUCUGGAAUUGUCACAAACUUAAAGAAAGCUAUGAUGAUUGGUUGGGUGCCAGAAUUCGAAUUCCGAGGCUGAGCCUGAUUAUUGGGCAUACUUAACAGUCGAGCGGGCCAACGCGUCCAUUGGAUCUAUGCAUUUUCUCCACAAGGGAUCAUCCGAAGGCAAAAGUUCGCGAAACUCAUCCGAAGCAAGAACCACUCUGUUCACAGCUCUUACCAGCAGAAUAUGAAGAGAGAUUCUAAGCAAAUUCGUUGCUCCUACAAAGUCUUUUUGGCUCAACGCUUGAACCGCAGAUGUAACAGUCUCAGGUAGUAUUGCAAGAAUCAUCAAGAAAUGGAGGGUCAGGCAAUGGAUACCUCGUUUUCAAGUUUCUGCUGAUACAUCCUAGUCACCAACAAAGUGUUGGUGGCAAGAAGACCGAUGGUGAGAGCGCUGCCAGCUUCAAUCGGCCUCAGCUUUGCCUCCUUCAGCUCCUCAGCUACAGAUUCACCCAUAUGAAUAAAAGCAAACUCCACAAUUUUCAAGAAUCACUCGUUUACGCCUCAACUUCUCAACUAUCAACCAGUGGUCGUCAAUACAUACUUCUUCUUGUUCACCAGAAAGGCAACGUAACGAACCUUUUUGAAGCGAUAAUAGCUGGUUGAUC